RNAcentral lists this ribosomal RNA (492 nucleotides) under uncultured bacterium. RNAcentral's name for it is "partial 16S ribosomal RNA". It matches the Rfam family "Bacterial small subunit ribosomal RNA", at positions 29 to 507 of the family's 1533-position model. The record is from RNAcentral.
AGUGAACGCUGACGGUAGGCCUAACACAUGCAAGUCGAACGGCAGCACAGUAAGAGCUUGCUCUUACGGGUGGCGAGUGGCGGACGGGUGAGGAAUACAUCGGAAUCUACUUUUUCGUGGGGGAUAACGUAGGGAAACUUACGCUACUACCGCAUACGACCUACGGGUGAAAGCAGGGGAUCUUCGGACCUUGCGCGAUUGAAUGAGCCGAUGUCGGAUUAGCUAGUUGGCUGGGUAAAGGCCCACCAAGGCGACGAUCCGUAGCUGGUCUGAGAGGAUGAUCAGCCACACUGGAACUGAGACACGGUCCAGACUCCUACGGGAGGCAGCAGUGGGGAAUAUUGGACAAUGGGCGCAAGCCUGAUCCAGCCAUACCGCGUGGGUGAAGAAGGCCUUCGGGUUGUAAAGCCCUUUUGUUGGGAAAGAAAAGCAGCAGGUUAAUACCCCGCUGUUCUGACGGUACCCAAAGAAUAAGCACCGGCUAACUUCGUG